UUACGAUAAUUAAAUUAUUAUCCCCGGCAAGCAAAACGUUUCGCCAGGUCACAAAAGAGAGCUUGAAAACAUCGAUAAAUGAUGUAUUAUGAAGCUGCGAAGCCUCUUGUUAAUGGAGGAGACGGUCUAUAAACUCAUAUAUCAACAUAUGGUUCAU
Molecule: long non-coding RNA, 157 nt
Organism: Cotesia glomerata
Lineage: Eukaryota; Metazoa; Arthropoda; Insecta; Hymenoptera; Braconidae
Exons: 4
Source: RefSeq, a predicted model, not a curated record